GUGAACGCUGGCGGUAGGCCUAACCCCUGCCAGUCGAACGGCAGCACCGUAAGAGCUUGCUCUUACGGGUGGCGAGUGGCGGACGGGUGAGGAAUACAUCGGAAUCUACUUUUUCGUGGGGGAUAACGUAGGGAAACUUACGCUAAUACCGCAUACGACCUACGGGUGAAAGCAGGGGAUCUUCGGACCUUGCGCGAUUGAAUGAGCCGAUGUCGGAUUAGCUAGUUGGCGGGGUAAAGGCCCACCAAGGCGACGAUCCGUAGCUGGUCUGAGAGGAUGAUCAGCCACACUGGAACUGAGACACGGUCCAGACUCCUACGGGAGGCAGCAGUGGGGAAUAUUGGACAAUGGGCGCAAGCCUGAUCCAGCCAUACCGCGUGGGUGAAGAAGGCCUUCGGGUUGUAAAGCCCUUUUGUUGGGAAAGAAAAGCAGCAGGUUAAUACCCCGCUGUUCUGACGGUACCCAAAGAAUAAGCACCGGCUAACUUCGUG
This 491-nucleotide ribosomal RNA is filed under the name uncultured bacterium. Its description in RNAcentral is "partial 16S ribosomal RNA". It matches the Rfam family "Bacterial small subunit ribosomal RNA", at positions 29 to 507 of the family's 1533-position model. The record is from RNAcentral.